Molecule: ribosomal RNA, 253 nt
Filed under: uncultured bacterium
Lineage: Bacteria
Description: partial 16S ribosomal RNA
Rfam family: Bacterial small subunit ribosomal RNA
Source: RNAcentral
UACGUAGGGCGCAAGCGUUAUCCGGAAUUAUUGGGCGUAAAGGGCUCGUAGGCGGUUUGUCGCGUCGGGAGUGAAAACGCCGUGCUUAACACGGCGCUUGCUUUCGAUACGGGCAGACUAGAGGUAUGCAGGGGAGAACGGAAUUCCUGGUGUAGCGGUGAAAUGCGCAGAUAUCAGGAGGAACACCGGUGGCGAAGGCGGUUCUCUGGGCAUUACCUGACGCUGAGGAGCGAAAGUGUGGGGAGCGAACAGG